GUCCAGACUCCUACGGGAGGCAGCAGUGAGGAAUAUUGGUCAAUGGGCUUACGCCUGAACCAGCCAAGUCGCGUGAGGGAAGACUGCCCUAUGGGUUGUAAACCUCUUUUGUCAGGGAGCAAUUGGCGCUACGUGUAGCGUUAUCGAGAGUACCUGAAGAAAAAGCAUCGGCUAACUCCGUGCCAGCAGCCGCGGUAAUACGUAGGGGGCAAGCGUUAUCCGGAUUUACUGGGUGUAAAGGGAGCGUAGACGGCGCUGCAAGUCCGGAGUGAAAGCCCAUGGCUUAACCAUGGUACUGCUCUGGAAACUGUGGAGCUUGAGUGCGGGAGGGGCAGGCGGAAUUCCUAGUGUAGCGGUGAAAUGCGUAGAUAUUAGGAGGAACACCGGCGGCGAAGGCGGUCUGCUGGACAGCAACUGACGCUGAGGCGCGAAAGCGUGGGGAGCAAACAGGAUUAGAUACCCCCGUACA
This 469-nucleotide ribosomal RNA is filed under the name uncultured bacterium. RNAcentral describes it as "bacterial SSU rRNA". It matches the Rfam family "Bacterial small subunit ribosomal RNA", at positions 329 to 794 of the family's 1533-position model. The record is from RNAcentral.